UACGAAGGGGGCGAGCGUUGUUCGGAUUUACUGGGCGUAAAGGGCGCGCAGGCGGCCAUUCAAGUCAGGCGUGAAAGCCCCGGGCUUAACCUGGGAGGUGCGCUUGGGGACUGGGUGGCUAGAGAUCGGGAGAGGAGAGUGGAAUUCCCAGUGUAGAGGUGAAAUUCGUAGAUAUUGGGGAAGAACACCGGUGGCGAAGGCGGCUCUCUGGACCGAUACGUGACGCUGAGGCGGCGAAAGCGUUG
This 245-nucleotide ribosomal RNA is filed under the name uncultured bacterium. RNAcentral describes it as "partial 16S ribosomal RNA". It matches the Rfam family "Bacterial small subunit ribosomal RNA", at positions 524 to 764 of the family's 1533-position model. The record is from RNAcentral.